This is a long non-coding RNA of Lagopus leucura (white-tailed ptarmigan), 575 nucleotides long. RefSeq lists it as uncharacterized. The transcript is spliced from 3 exons. Lineage: Eukaryota; Metazoa; Chordata; Aves; Galliformes; Phasianidae. The record is from RefSeq and is a predicted model, not a curated record.
CCAUGGCAAGAGUUUCCACAGCAUAUCUAAGAAUAGCAAGCAGGAAUAACUAGCAUUUUCCAACUUAGUACAUCUUACUUCAUCUCAGUGAUGUCCCAAAUCAGCUGAGAUGGACCAUGUGAAGUUCAGCAAGGAGAAUUGUGAAGUCGUGAAUCUGUGAAGGAACAAUUGCAUGCACCAGAACUUGCUGAAGCCACCCAUUUGGAAAACAGCUGACAGAAGGCCCUGGGGAUCAUCAUCUUUGUGAGCCAAGCUUAACAAGCCACAAAGUAGAAAACAAGGUGCCAUCCAUCUUUCACAUAGACCACUUCGACCUGAACCCUGCAGGCCCAGCCCUGCUUGAUGAGUGAGAAGCUACUGCCUAUGAAAAGGCUGGUGAGUUAUUCACUUCUGUUAUCCCAUGCACAAUCCCUCAUUACCAAAACAUUAUUUGAGUCUUAUGUUGUUCAUCCAGACUGAGGAAGACCACACCUAGCUGCCUGAAUUACAGUGCUGACUAUAUACAUAUAAACAUUUAUUUGCCUGAGAGAAAAUAAGCUGGAGGGGGGGCUUCGAGGUUUUUGUUUUUCCAAAGG